This 522-nucleotide ribosomal RNA is filed under the name uncultured bacterium. RNAcentral describes it as "partial 16S ribosomal RNA". It matches the Rfam family "Bacterial small subunit ribosomal RNA", at positions 355 to 891 of the family's 1533-position model. The record is from RNAcentral.
UGGGGAAUAUUGCACAAUGGGCGAAAGCCUGAUGCAGCAACGCCGCGUGAGUGAUGAAGGCCUUCGGGUUGUAAAGCUCUGUCUUUUGGGACGAUAAUGACGGUACCAAAGGAGGAAGCCACGGCUAACUACGUGCCAGCAGCCGCGGUAAUACGUAGGUGGCAAGCGUUGUCCGGAUUUUACUGGGCGUAAAGGAUGCGUAGGCGGAUUUUUAAGUGAGAUGUGAAAACCCUAAGCUUAACUUGGGGACUGCAUUUCAUACUGGAAAUCUAGAGUGCGGGAGAGGAGAAUGGAAUUCCUAGUGUAGCGGUGAAAUGCGUAGAGAUUAGGAAGAACACCAGUGGCGAAGGCGAUUCUCUGGACCGUAACUGACGCUGAGGCAUGAAAGCGUGGGUAGCAAACAGGAUUAGAUACCCUGGUAGUCCACGCCGUAAACGAUGAGUACUAGGUGUAGGAGGUAUCGACCCCCUUCUGUGCCGCAGUUAACACAAUAAGUACUCCGCCUGGGAAGUACGAUCGCAA